GGAUGAUGUUCCUGCUCCUUUGGUGUGCUGGGGGGUUCCAGGAUGACACUCCAGCCCAUCCAGCCGCUCCUGCCCAUCCCAAACAUUUCUUUCCCUCUCGUUCCCCCUCUGUCCCGGUUCCCCUCCGCAGGCUGCCCGGGCCAUGGAGAAGUUCGGGAUGAGCUUCGGGGGCGGCCCCAGCAGGAAGGACCUGCUGGACACCAUCGAGGCGCAGAAGCAGCAGCUGCUGCGGUACCAGGCGCGGCUCAAGGACAUGGUGCUGGCCUACAAGAGCCUGCUCAAGGAGAAGGAGGCGCUGGAGGCCAGCCUGAAGGUGCUCUCCGUGUCCCACGAGGGCCAUCUCCCGGCGCCCGGCCCCGGGGAGCCCCCGGAUGACCAGAGCUCCGAGCACAGCGAGGACAGCGCGGGCACGGCCGCCAGCGCCGACACGGCGGCCAGCAGGGCCAGCAGGGACACUGCGGCCAGCGGGGCCAGCAGGGACACGGCGGCCAGCGGGACCAGUGUGAGCAGCACCACGGGGGACGGCACGGCCGGCGCGAGCGGCAGCACCGUGGACGCCGCGGGCGGCGUGAGCUGCGCCGGGGCGGACGCGGGGCCCAAGGAGGACAGACCCGCGGCCCACAGAGCCGAGGAGCCUCCCGGCCCCGAGGGGGACCUCGGCGAGUCCGAGCGGAGGCUCCUGCAGCUGAAGGCCCAGCUGGCCACCCUGACGGGCGCCCUGGCCACGGUGACGCAGGAGAAGUCGCGCAUGGAGGCCUCGUACCAGGCGGACAAGCGGCAGAUGCGGCAGGAGCUGGAGGAGGCGGCGCGGCGGGCGCGGGCCGAGGCGGAGCGGCUGGCGCUGGAGCUGGGGGGGCUGCGGGAGCAGCUGGCCGAGACCAAGGCCCGGCUGAUCACGCAGCAGCACGAGCGGGCGCGCGAGCAGGGCGACCACGCCGAGAUGCUGCGGGAGCUGCAGGAGCUGCUGCGCGCGGAGCGGGAGCUGCGCCGGGACGCGGAGCUGCGGCUGGAGCAGGGCCGGGACGCGCCCGCCGGCAGGGCCGGGGCGCCCGAGCGGGCGCAGGGGCACGAGCAGCACGUGCGGCAGCUGAGCCAGGAGCUGGAGGAGCUCAAGAGGGAGCUGCAGGGGGUGCGGGAGGAGAACAGCAAGGCCGACCCCUGCAUCCAGCAGCUCCAGGAGGAGAUGGCCGGGCUCAAGAACCACUUCCAGGUGCAGCUGGUGCAGGAGAUGAAGAAGACCGCCCAGGCCGAGGAGCAGCUCCGGCACCGCGCGCAGAUGGAGGAGCGGCGCGUGGCCGACCUGGAGGCUCAGGUGUCCCAGGCGUCCGAGCUGCUGGGCACCUACGAGAAGGCCAAGCAGAAGGACCAGCAGGUCAUCCAGAAGCUCAAGGACCGCAUCGUGCAGCUGGACCUGGAGAACAAGACCUUGGCCAUCGCCGCCUCCAGCCGGGCCCCGGGGGACAUCCACGGCGAGGAGGCCAACCUGGACGUGAACGUGCUCAAGGACAAGAUGGAGAAGCUGAAGAAGCUCCUGCAGGCGGCCACCGGGAAGAGCCAGGCGGACGUGGAGGAGCCCUGCGAGCCGGAGCUGCCCAGGGGCUCCGGGGACGGCGAGAAGGCCACGGCCGGGUACUACCAGCAGGAGCUGAGGCAGCUGAAGGAGGAGUUCGAGCGCUACAAGGUGAGGGCCCAGCUGGUCCUGAAGAACAAGUCCAGCAAGGACAUCAACCUGGCCAAGGAGCUGGAGGAGGCCCAGGAGCAGCUGGGGGAGCUCAAGGAGAAGUACGUGGCGCUCCAGCUGGCCUCGGACGACGCGGAGCGGUGGCACCGGCAGGACGUGGAGGCCAAGAGGCAGGAGCUGUCCCAGCUGCAGCAGCGGCACCGGCAGGAGCUGGAGAGGUGCCAGCUGGAGUACCGGGAGCGGGCGCUGCGCCUGGAGGAGGAGAUGCACAAGCAGCGGGACCGGGCGCUGGCCGUGCUGGCCGAGAAGGACCAGGAGCUGGAGCGCCUGCGGGCCCUGGCGCUGCCCCACGCGCCGCCCCCCGCGCUCCAGGCCUCCCAGAGCUCCCCGGACGGCCCCUGCGGCGACUCCCCCGGCCUCGGCUCCUCCGAGGUUCUCCCCCAGGGCCUGCCCCUGCCCUCGGGCUCCGAGCCCACGCUGUUCCUGUACGCGGAGCAGCUGGCGCGCAAGGAGGUGGAGGUGGCGGCGCUGCGCAAGCAGCGGCACGGCCUGGAGGGGCAGCUGCACCGGCUGCGGGAGAAGGCCCUGGCCGAGCAGGAGAGGCACCGCGAGGAGGUGGCGGCGCUGCAGGGCGAGAUCCAGAAGAACUUCCGGGACAGGAGCAGGGAAGGAGCCAACCUGGAGUACCUGAAGAACGUGGUGUACCGGUUCCUGACGCUGCCCGACGCGCGGGGCCGGCAGCAGACGCUCUCGGCCAUCCUCACCAUCCUGCACUUCAGCCCCGAGGAGAAGGAGGACGUCGCCAGGCACUCGGCCCAGGGCAGCUGGUGGCUCCACGGGAAGAGAUGAGGGGGCAGCUCUUACUCCCUUGUCCGUAAGAACGUCCUGGUGAUCGACCAAAACCACUUUGCUCGUGGUGAAACCUCCUCCCGACCGUGCCCGGAGCUCCCGGUCACAAUUUGGGCUCGAACCAGUGUUUUUAGCACCAAUUUGCAGUGGAAUUGUGCCAACUCUUCCAGCCCUGGUGUGGGAAUUUGCUCUGAGUUGGGACUUGGUUUAAAACCCCUGGAAUUGAGGAUCCUGAUGCUUUUUUAAAGAGGGUUUUAAGAUGAUUCCAACCUGUCAGGCGUGGGUUAGGGUGGAACUCACUUGGAUCUUCAAACUCCAGCCGGGCUCGUGACUCAGAAGAUUAAAAGGAGGGCGGGAAGCACUUUAGAAGGAGCUAAAAUAGCACCAGACCAUGAGAGGCUCAAGAGGAGGAGGUUUAAUGCAGAAAAUCUUGAGCGUUUUCUCCAACGUUUCUUCUCCAGAACCAAUUUAACAGUGGAUGCAGCCCCAGGCCCCUCCCAGGGCUCAGGUGUGCUCUCCUUCCUGCCCAGGGAUCCUCGGGAAUUCUCAGUGAUUCCAGGAUGGAGAAAGGAUCUCCUGGAUGUUGAAGUGGUGGCACCACUGUGGUGGUGCCAGGGAUGAUUCCCCACCCCAAGGUGCCAAGCAGGAAUUGGAGCUGCCUGGCCCCGUUUGGGAGCAGGAAGCAGAGGAAAGGCUGGAAUGGGUGCCCUGCUCCUCGUUUUUGGGAGUUCCAGGGAAGUUUUGCUGCUGUGCAGUGCUGGUUUUGGAAGGAAGGCCCCGUUCCUGCUGGGAUGGAGCAGUGGGGGGCAGGGGGUGGCAGGUCCGGGCAGUGCCUGCAGGGACCUGGAGAUUCUUCCCUAGUUUCCAUGGGAACUGGUGAAAGAAGGAAGCCAGGACAUCCUGAAACCCGCUCCCUGAGCCCCAGGAGGGAUGUUUUGCUGGUGGGCCUGGAACAGGCUCUUCCCAGCUCUGCUCAGCUGGAGCUCCCAAACUUUCCCAUCUGCGCAGGCCAAACGUCCCCGUGGUGUUGUUUUCCUGCCCCUUGUUUGGGGUUAAACCUUGGCUACCAAAGCUCAGCUUCCCCGGCCCAGAGUACAGGGAUGAGUCUGGAUUAACACCCCCGGGUGGGCCUGGAGUUAAAAGCAGGUUGGGGGAGCAGCUCCUGGUGCUGCCCUGCCCGGGGGGGCCUUGGGAAGGGCAGCAAACUCCAGUUCCAUGGCAGGAUCCUGCCCUGCCCUUGGGGCUGGAGCCCUGGGAGCUGCAGGAGCAGCAGUGUGGAGGAGGGAUGUGCUGUGUCCCCUCACAGCUCAGGGAAGGGCCCGGAUGUUCCCUGUCCCUGGGCUGGGAAAGGAGGGGGUGCCAUGCCCCCAGGGGGACAGACUGGGGGUCUCCCAUGUCCCCAGCCCAUCCCAGGGGACCCACCAGUGGCCUGGGACAGGGAUCCUGGGGUGCUGCAGCCACCCUGGCACUUCCUGGGGGAGGGACCCUGGGGUGCAACAUCCCUCCUUGCCUCCUUGGCUGUCCUGGUCCUGCCAGCAGCCAAAUCCCCUGGAUUCCCAGUAACUCAGCCCCAAUUUCUCCUCAAAAGAGUCCUCAGGGAAAACGUGCCCUGGGCAGAACCUGUCCCUGCUGGGAGGGAUCCAGGUGCUGCUGGGAUGGAGGGAACUGGAUGGGAAAGGGACAGUUUGUCCCAGGAGUGUUUGGAACGCUUCCCAAGGGUGCAAGUGUUGGCUCAGCCAGGGAAGAGCCUGGACCCUGCUCCCAGUUUGGAAAGUUUGAAUUAAGUGGUGCCUCUGGAAUAACAGGGAUGGCUCCAGCUCUCACCCUGGAGCCAUUCCCACAACACCAGAGGGAGAUGGUGCCUCCUGCUUCAGCUUUGCUGCUCAGGCUGAGGGGAUGAUCCCUGUUCUCCCUCUGCCUCGUGCUCUCCUGGAGGAUGAAGAGACCUGGAAUGGAUCCCAGGUGUGGUGGGGAUCAAUGUGGGAUCCAGCUGGGAGACAGGGAUCAGUGUGGGGUCCCAGAUGGGAGCGGGGGAACAAGGUGGGAUCCAGUUGGGAGCACAGAGAUCCACUGCCCAGGGAUCCCCUGAUCCCUCCGUACCUGAUGGAGGAGAACAAGGAAGCAGCUGCCCAGGAGCACAUCCAGGAGCUGCCAAACGAGUCCCCUGUGUCACUGUCACCCUCCUCAGCUCUCCUGCUGCAAUUCUUCCCCUGCUCCCUCCCGCCCCUCUCCCUCCUCCUCCUCCUCCUCCUCCUCCUCCCUCCCUCAGACCUUCCCUCCCAUCCCUCCCUCCCUCCCUCUUCCCUCUCUUCCUUCAGCCAAUAUCCCUGAAAUAAAGGUAAAUCCCUGUUUGAGGCAGGACUCUGGUGGUGUUGGGCCGGGCAGUGCUUGGAGAUCAGAACAUCCUUGGGUUUAAAAUUCUAACAAAACUAAUAAAUGCCUUCAUUUCCCGA
This is an RNA transcript of Pipra filicauda (Wire-tailed manakin), 4983 nucleotides long. It is a transcript of the gene named GRIP and coiled-coil domain containing 1, with no coding region annotated. NCBI's taxonomy places the organism in Eukaryota, Metazoa, Chordata, Aves, Passeriformes, Pipridae. The transcript is spliced from 3 exons. The record is from RefSeq and is a predicted model, not a curated record.